RNAcentral lists this ribosomal RNA (744 nucleotides) under Escherichia coli. RNAcentral describes it as "partial 23S ribosomal RNA". It matches the Rfam family "Bacterial large subunit ribosomal RNA", at positions 2187 to 2925 of the family's 2925-position model. The record is from RNAcentral. RNAcentral also lists the same sequence under 1 other name. Lineage: Bacteria; Pseudomonadati; Pseudomonadota; Gammaproteobacteria; Enterobacterales; Enterobacteriaceae.
CGGCCUUGAAAUACCACCCUUUAAUGUUUGAUGUUCUAACGUGGACCCGUGAUCCGGGUUGCGGACAGUGUCUGGUGGGUAGUUUGACUGGGGCGGUCUCCUCCUAAAGAGUAACGGAGGAGCACGAAGGUUGGCUAAUCCUGGUCGGACAUCAGGAGGUUAGUGCAAUGGCAUAAGCCAGCUUGACUGCGAGCGUGACGGCGCGAGCAGGUGCGAAAGCAGGUCAUAGUGAUCCGGUGGUUCUGAAUGGAAGGGCCAUCGCUCAACGGAUAAAAGGUACUCCGGGGAUAACAGGCUGAUACCGCCCAAGAGUUCAUAUCGACGGCGGUGUUUGGCACCUCGAUGUCGGCUCAUCACAUCCUGGGGCUGAAGUAGGUCCCAAGGGUAUGGCUGUUCGCCAUUUAAAGUGGUACGCGAGCUGGGUUUAGAACGUCGUGAGACAGUUCGGUCCCUAUCUGCCGUGGGCGCUGGAGAACUGAGGGGGGCUGCUCCUAGUACGAGAGGACCGGAGUGGACGCAUCACUGGUGUUCGGGUUGUCAUGCCAAUGGCACUGCCCGGUAGCUAAAUGCGGAAGAGAUAAGUGCUGAAAGCAUCUAAGCACGAAACUUGCCCCGAGAUGAGUUCUCCCUGACCCUUUAAGGGUCCUGAAGGAACGUUGAAGACGACGACGUUGAUAGGCCGGGUGUGUAAGCGCAGCGAUGCGUUGAGCUAACCGGUACUAAUGAACCGUGAGGCUUAACCUU